Long non-coding RNA from Triticum aestivum (bread wheat), 846 nucleotides. RefSeq lists it as uncharacterized. The record is from RefSeq and is a predicted model, not a curated record. NCBI's taxonomy places the organism in Eukaryota, Viridiplantae, Streptophyta, Magnoliopsida, Poales, Poaceae. The transcript has 4 exons.
GGGAAAUAGCUACCCCGUGGUAACUAAGAGGAGGGGAACGACCAGUCGUCGGGGUCUAUUUCCUCGCCUCUCUCUGUUCUUCUCUCUCAUCCGAAGAACUGUGCUGGAUAAAGGAGAGCUGCAGAGAUCCAAGGUUCCUUGAAUUGAAGAAAUCGGCUCGCUCCUGCACGCCCAGCAAGAGGAUGGGCGACGCUUCCGGUGGAGAGAACAAAAGAUUGAUUAAGCCAGUUUAACCCAAGGAGAGACAAGAGAGGACGAGCAGAAAGAGAGAGAAUAGACGCAAAGGAGGUCGCAUCACAGGGGUGCGCACAUCGAAGAUGUCCGCGGCUGAAGUCGUCGGCGACGAGAUGCUUAGCUAGGCCGGCGCACCUCUAGGCUAGUCCCGCCCUGUGGACCAGCAAUGCAUGGGCACUGACACGGAUGACAAAGGAAGCAAUCCUGAAAACAACACAGACAACAGAAAUGCAGAAGGCAAAUAGCAGUGUCUUGAAGAUCCAACAUUAGAAGAGCGAGGAUAUCAUGUAGAAAUCACUGACACGGAAGUUUCUACAAUGGUUUGUAACCUUUUCAAUAAAUAUCCAUAUUUUUUCUGAGUUUUAUUAGUUGAUACAGGGGUUAACUAGGUAACACGGGAUGUUAACUAGCUGUUUUGCCGUGUCAACAUGUCUAUGUACUCUUGUUGAAACUAGGUAGAGGAGCAUCUGCAAGCUGCUAGUCAACUUCAGUACUGAAAAACAACAUAUGUUGCUCUGAUCAAUUCCAUGAACAAUGGACAGCACAGUUCAGUUUAGUUAGUUCUGAACAGCAACUCCUGUCCUCGUACAUCCAUAAUCUUUUGUAUUUAUA